This 398-nucleotide ribosomal RNA is filed under the name uncultured bacterium. RNAcentral describes it as "bacterial SSU rRNA". It matches the Rfam family "Bacterial small subunit ribosomal RNA", at positions 342 to 737 of the family's 1533-position model. The record is from RNAcentral.
CGGGAGGCAGCAGUGAGGAAUAUUGGACAAUGGGCGCAAGCCUGAUCCAGCCAUGCCGCGUGCAGGAUGACGGUCCUAUGGAUUGUAAACUGCUUUUGCACAGGAAGAAACACCCCGACGUGUCGGGGCUUGACGGUACUGUGAGAAUAAGGAUCGGCUAACUCCGUGCCAGCAGCCGCGGUAAUACGGAGGAUCCAAGCGUUAUCCGGAAUCAUUGGGUUUAAAGGGUCCGUAGGCGGUCUUAUAAGUCAGUGGUGAAAUCUCCCCGCUCAACGGGGAAACGGCCAUUGAUACUGUAGGACUUGAAUUAUUAGGAAGUAACUAGAAUAUGUAGUGUAGCGGUGAAAUGCUUAGAGAUUACAUGAAAUACCAAUUGCGAAGGCAGGUUACUACUGAUG